This 497-nucleotide ribosomal RNA is filed under the name uncultured bacterium. RNAcentral describes it as "partial 16S ribosomal RNA". It matches the Rfam family "Bacterial small subunit ribosomal RNA", at positions 28 to 507 of the family's 1533-position model. The record is from RNAcentral.
GAUGAACGCUGGCGGCGUGCCUAAUACAUGCAAGUCGAGCGAACGGACGAGAAGCUUGCUUCUCUGAUGUUAGCGGCGGACGGGUGAGUAACACGUGGAUAACCUACCUAUAAGACUGGGAUAACUUCGGGAAACCGUAGCUAAUACCGGAUAAUAUUUUGAACCGCAUGGUUCAAAAGUGAAAGACGGUCUUGCUGUCACUUAUAGAUGGAUCCGCGCUGCAUUAGCUAGUUGGUAAGGUAACGGCUUACCAAGGCAACGAUGCAUAGCCGACCUGAGAGGAUGAUCGGCCACACUGGAACUGAGACACGGUCCAGACUCCUACGGGAGGCAGCAGUAGGGAAUCUUGCGCAAUGGGCGAAAGCCUGACGGAGCAACGCCGCGUGAGUGGUGAAGGUCUUCGGAUCGUAAAACUCUGUUAUUAGGGAAGAACAUAUGUGUAAGUAACUGUGCACAUCUUGACGGUACCUAAUCAGAAAGCCACGGCUAACUACGUG